RNAcentral lists this ribosomal RNA (927 nucleotides) under uncultured Bacillota bacterium. Its description in RNAcentral is "bacterial SSU rRNA". It matches the Rfam family "Bacterial small subunit ribosomal RNA", at positions 58 to 964 of the family's 1533-position model. Lineage: Bacteria; Bacillati; Bacillota. The record is from RNAcentral.
CAAGUCGAACGAGAAAGUCCCCUUCGGGGGAUAAGUAAAGUGGCGCACGGGUGAGUAACACGUAGGUAAUCUACCUUCGGGUGGGGAAUAACCCAGGGAAACUUGGGCUAACACCGCAUAAUGCAGCGGCACCACAUGGUGACAGUUGUUAAAGCGGGGGAUUUUCGGACCUCGCGCCUGAAGAGGAGCCUGCGGCGGAUUAGCUAGUUGGUAAGGUAACGGCUUACCAAGGCAACGAUCCGUAGCCGGCCUGAGAGGGCGGUCGGCCACACUGACACUGACAUACGGGUCAGACUCCUACGGGAGGCAGCAGUCGGGAAUUUUGGGCAAUGGGCGAAAGCCUGACCCAGCAACGCCGCGUGAAGGAUGAAAUCCCUCGGGAUGUAAACUUCGCAAGAAUAGGAAGAAUUAGUAGGGGCUAAUACCCCCUAUGAUGACGGUACUAUUUGUAAGCUCCGGCUAACUCCGUGCCAGCAGCCGCGGUAAUACGGGGGGAGCAAGCGUUGUUCGGAUUUACUGGGCGUAAAGGGCGCGUAGGCGGUCAGCACAAGUCAGUUGUGAAAUCUCCGGGCUUAACUCGGAAAGGUCAACUGAUACUGUGCGACUAGAGUGCGGAAGGGGCAACUGGAAUUCUCGGUGUAGCGGUGAAAUGCGUAGAUAUCGAGAGGAACACCUGCGGCGAAGGCGGGUUGCUGGGCCGACACUGACGCUGAUGCGCGAAAGCCAGGGGAGCGAACGGGAUUAGAUACCCCGGUAGUCCUGGCCUUAAACGAUGGAUGCUUGGUGUCUGGGGUUUUAUAGUCCCCGGGUGCCGUAGCUAACGCGUUAAGCAUCCCGCCUGGGGAGUACGGUCGCAAGACUGAAACUCAAAGGAAUUGACGGGGACCGCACAAGCGGUGGAGCAUGUGGUUCAUUCGACGCACGCGA